This is a long non-coding RNA of Mus musculus (house mouse), 259 nucleotides long. RefSeq annotates it as predicted gene, 34482. The record is from RefSeq and is a predicted model, not a curated record. NCBI's taxonomy places the organism in Eukaryota, Metazoa, Chordata, Mammalia, Rodentia, Muridae. The transcript is spliced from 3 exons.
CGAAUUUUCCUGUCUCUGCAUCCCAUCAGUCCAGAUCCAAAAUAAACACAAGGCAUGGCUUCUAGUCUCAAAAUCUUAUAAAUCGACUAUGCAGUUGUCAGCCUUCUGUGCAGAGCCAAGCAGAGGAAACAUGGGUGUGAGGAGCUCAAGAAGGAAGCUUCGUCUGUGUGGAAGCUGUUGCUGAGGCCAGGGAUUGUCCCACUAUGUAACUCUGGAUGAUGUUGGACUUGCCAUGCUCCUGCCUCAGCCUCCUAAGUAC